AUCCCUAACCCAAAAUCAGUUUCUCCUCUCCCUUCUCCUACCUCGCAACAUCUCCUGUCCGUCAUCACUGAGGCCAUCAUCUCCAACGUCCCUCGGCCCUGGUUGCCGACCCAGAACGAGAAAGGUGUUGCUGCUGCUGCUGCUGCUGCUUCUGCUUCCAGCGUCCUUAGGCUCUCGCCUUUCAUCUUCUUCGCUCCGUUCGCCCUGUCAUCUCCGGCGUCACAGAGUUCCCGAUUCGGCUUCACAUCUCCCCCGAGAUACUUCAAAGCUCUUUUUUGAAAACAAAAUCCUAUCCAAACGGCCUCGAAGUCUCUCGGCGCGGCAUCGGCUCCUUGCGACCACUCUAUACUUCUUUGCUACCGAUUGGCGCCAAGCGUCGCCCUCGCCAAACCCACAUUAAUUUGAAGCGCUGCUAAUUUUUCCGUCAGUGCUUCUGCAAACCGACAUUAAUGCAUCGACAAGUUUAUUUUGUGGAUCAGGUUUUUCCUGCUUUAGUAGUUGGAAAGGGGUAUCAUGAUAUUGAGCUGCAGUGGAGGGGUUGUCAAUAUUCACUUCAUACAUCUCAUAAAGUAAUAAGGUAGAAGGAUGCAGAAAUUGGGUGAUUUCAAGCUGCCCCACUUCUUCAAUUAUCCACCAUGCUUCACCCAGUUAAGGACACCAGGGAAAAGCAAAUACAACUUUGGAAGGAACUAGUACUUGAUUUCUGUAGAGCUCAAAAUAUUUUUUUAAUUGAACUGGAAAAUGACUUUCUUCUGUUCACAAAUCCUGUAAUUGAAAGGUCUCUAAGUCAUGAAGCUAGGGAGGUGUUUCUGUCAGCUUUAGUUUUGAAGAAUGGAUGGACAAGGGACACAGAAAAUGCCUUAUCCUCUGGCACUGCAUCCAAGAUUAGGCUGACUUGAUUUUAGGAUUGGUGAAAGAUAAUGGCUUGGAAGAUAGUGUAAUGACAGUGGAAAAAAUUCGAUCAGGGACUGAAUCUCGGGGAACAGGUAAACUAUGAUUUCUAAAAAUACUUCUUGAUACCAGUUUAUUGGCAGGAGUAGGAGGAAUAAGUGAAGGAUCUUUGUAAAAUUGUAGUUUUUUGUUGUGCUUUAUUUAAUGUCAUUGUACUAAUGUUCAAUGUAUAUUUGUUGGAUGCUAUAUAUAUAGAGCUUCAUGGAGUGGAGCAGACAGUUCUAAUGCAAGCUCUGAAGCUACUAGAACACAAAGCAUUUCUGUUUCUUAACUUUUUUGAAAAAUACCAUUUUCAUGUUUCUGUUUCGUAUUAGAAAUGUUUUUUGUUUCUAUUUUCGUGCAACAUAGAAUAAUACUACCAAUUCAUCGGUGACCCCUGCACCAGCGUGGAGUCUUACAUGGGCGAGAAGGUGGUCUUCUAGUAUUAAUUUUUUAAAAAUAAUUGUGUUUUGCUCAAUUUUUUUAUUAGAAAAUGAUAAAAUACUGAAAAAUUCCUAUUUCUUUUAUUUCACUUCUUUUCAGGGAGUAACUAAUGUUUGUUCUUAUGUAGAGACUGAUGAAAACAUAUUUAGAGAUUUGUGUUACACAGUAUUUUUGGGAUGUUUUUAAUUGUUUUUGAGUUUUCAAAUAGAAAAUAUGAAUUUUAUAAUUUAUACAUGAUAAAAAAUAUUAUAAAGUAAAAAUAUCAAUAAUGUCAGUAUUGUAAAUAGUAAAAUAUUAAUAACGAUUAAAAUAUUAUUAUAAUAUCAAAAAGAUCAACAACAUUACUACUUUUGUAAAUUGUAAAAAUAAGAAUAAAUACUAGACUUGACUAAUAGUAAAUAAUAAAAAUAUUAAUAACCCCAAUAUAGUAUUAUAAAAUUUCUAAAAUCGUAAAAAGGAUUUAAAUUUUUAAAAUUUAAAAUUGUCAUCAGAUAGCAUUUAUGUACUCUUUUGGUCAUGAGGCAUGAUAUUAGCUGAUCUAUUUGACGAUUGCAUGACACCUCUACAUUAAUGGCUUUGCAAGCUAGUAUUUUAAUAAAAUUGAAGUCUCUCUCUCUCUCUCUCUCUCACACACACACAAUGCAUUGAACUUGCCAUCAUGGAUAUCUCUCCUCAAACAUUAUAUUAUUGAUGAACUAUAUAUUAGGGGAAAAAGAUUAUUGUUUUAUUGUAUUUUAUUAUUUUACUGAUCUUUAUGUAUUUGUUGGGUGUUGUAAACCUUUGUGCGUUUGAUUUAGAUAGUCCUAAUGCAAGUCCUAAAACUACUAAUAGUAAAUAGUAAAAAUAUUAAUAACCCCAAUUUAGUAUUAUAAAAUUUUCAAAAUUGUAGAAAGGAUUUAACACUUUAAAAUUUAUAACAUAAAGCUAAUCUUAGGAUGAAGCAUAAUAUUAGCUAAUCUCUUUGGCGAUUGAAUGACACCUCUAUGCUACAUUAAUGGCUUUGCAAGUAGGCAUUUUAAUAAAAUUGAAGUCUCUCUCUCUCUCCCUCACGCGCACGCACACACAAUGCAUUGAGCUUGCCAUCAUUGAUACCUCUCCUCAAACAUUUUACUAUUGAUGAAUUAUAUAUUAGGAGAAAAAAAUUGUUGUUUUGUUGUAUUUCAUUAUUUCACUAAUGUUUAUGUGUUGUUUGAGUGUUGUAAACCUUUGUAGGCUCGAUUUAGACCGUCCUAAUGCAAGUCCUAAAACUAAUAUUACACAAGGGGAAGCUUACCAUCUUCAAGGGAGCUUCAAUUGAUGUUGAAGGGGCCAAAUUUUCUAUACAGUGCUUUCUCAUUUUCAUGAUUUUUUUUUAUAUGUUACUAGCUUAUGACCACAAGAUGGAACUCAAUUGUUGGUUUAAUUUAUUUAUCUUAAAUUUUAUAUUUUUCAGAAUAUGGUAUAGAAAAUUAUUAUAUUAGCUAUAAAAAUUCUAAUUUGUUA
Long non-coding RNA from Diospyros lotus (date-plum), 2856 nucleotides. RefSeq lists it as uncharacterized. Lineage: Eukaryota; Viridiplantae; Streptophyta; Magnoliopsida; Ericales; Ebenaceae. The transcript is spliced from 7 exons. The record is from RefSeq and is a predicted model, not a curated record.